This 555-nucleotide long non-coding RNA is filed under the name Homo sapiens (human). Its description in RNAcentral is "non-protein coding lnc-TMEM185B-11:1". Lineage: Eukaryota; Metazoa; Chordata; Mammalia; Primates; Hominidae. The record is from RNAcentral.
ACGCAGCUGGUAACCCUGCGGCAGUGGAGGAGCUGCCCGCCGGUUUUGUGACCGUGCUGACCCCUACGCAGACCUCAUGAGAGUCACAAGCCAUCGCAACUGACAGUUUAAACGUCUGCCUCUUAUCUCUAAGGGAGGGAACUAUCUCUUAUGCAAUGUGAUAUCCAUGGCUGCUAGCACAGUGUAAUUAAUUCUUUCAUUGUUGAUCAUUGUAAGUUAGGAUGCAUGUGUAUACUAUAUUGGAGGCUUUGGGCCAUGAUUAGAUUGCUAUGUAUCUACCAGAUCCAGUCCCUCCAUCAGCAUCUAUAUCAAAAAGCACAGAAGCUUUACCUUAGUCUUAAGUGACCAACUUAACAAAAAAGUGCAAUCAGAAGAAUAUCCUAGUGUUAGCCUACUAAGUAUUCUGUUUUUACCAUUCUCAUUCACAUUUAAAACUUUUAUUGAGUGCUAAUCGUAUGACAGACACUUUGCUAGGUACAGUAAGGAGAUGGGGUAGGAGGCUUCUCAAAGAGGAAGCUCCCUAGUAUUUAUAACCUAGAAGAGGAAUCAGACCCA